CUAAAAGGUACAAAGACUUGGAGAAAAAGGAAGAGAAAUUGCAGAUCCAAUAGUUGGAGAAGGAGCUGUCACAGGCGGCGUGGAAUAUUAACGAGCCCAAAGCAGCAGUGCAGAGAGAGCAGGAGGAUCCAGGGUUUAGACAACACGACAAAAUUCCAAUUCAGAAGAAUCAACACACUAUUGAAGCAAGAAGUAAUACAAUGUAAAGCUGCCUUUUUUCAAAGAGUAAGCCAUGGCGCCUUGGUAUGCUAGAUGUCCUUCCCAGACAUUCAUCUGUCAUGAACAACCUAUCUUCCUCCACACCUCCAAAGACCGGAAAGGCAAUUUUUAACUGAAUUGCUAUUCCUGCAAACUUUUCUGUAACAGUCAGAUUCCCAGGUAUAUUAUCGUUAUCAUCUUCCUCCUAUGCAG
This 411-nucleotide long non-coding RNA is filed under the name Monodelphis domestica (gray short-tailed opossum). RNAcentral's name for it is "lncRNA (ENSMODG00000043965.1)". The record is from RNAcentral. Lineage: Eukaryota; Metazoa; Chordata; Mammalia; Didelphimorphia; Didelphidae.